RNAcentral lists this ribosomal RNA (450 nucleotides) under Bacillus sp. (in: firmicutes). Its description in RNAcentral is "bacterial SSU rRNA". It matches the Rfam family "Bacterial small subunit ribosomal RNA", at positions 56 to 489 of the family's 1533-position model. The record is from RNAcentral. Lineage: Bacteria; Bacillati; Bacillota; Bacilli; Caryophanales; Bacillaceae.
UGACAGUCGAGCGGACAGAAGGGAGCUUGCUCCCGGAUGUUAGCGGCGGACGGGUGAGUAACACGUGGGUAACCUGCCUGUAAGACUGGGAUAACUCCGGGAAACCGGAGCUAAUACCGGAUAGUUCCUUGAACCGCAUGGUUCAAGGAUGAAAGACGGUUUCGGCUGUCACUUACAGAUGGACCCGCGGCGCAUUAGCUAGUUGGUGGGGUAAUGGCUCACCAAGGCGACAAUGCGUAGCCAACCUGAGAGGGUGAUCGGCCACACUGGGACUGAGACACGGCCCAGACUCCUACGGGAGGCAGCAGUAGGGAAUCUUCCGCAAUGGACGAAAGUCUGACGGAGCAACGCCGCGUGAGUGAUGAAGGUUUUCGGAUCGUAAAGCUCUGUUGUUAGGGAAGAACAAGUGCGAGAGUAACUGCUCCCACCUUGACGGUACCUAACCAGAAA